GUGGGGAAUAUUGGACAAUGGGCGAAAGCCUGAUCCAGCCAUGCCGCGUGUGUGAAGAAGGUCUUCGGAUUGUAAAGCACUUUAAGUUGGGAGGAAGGGCAGUAAGUUAAUACCUUGCUGUUUUGACGUUACCGACAGAAUAAGCACCGACUAACUUCGUGCCAGCAGCCGCGGUAAUACGAAGGGUGCAAGCGUUAAUCGGAAUUACUGGGCGUAAAGCGCGCGUAGGUGGUUUUGUAAGUUGGAGGUGAAAUCCCCGGGCUCAACCUGGGAACUGCCUCCAAAACUGCAUGGCUAGAGUACGGUAGAGGGUAAUGGAAUUUCCUGUGUAGCGGUGAAAUGCGUAGAUAUAGGAAGGAACACCAGUGGCGAAGGCGACUACCUGGACUGAUACUGACACUGAGGUGCGAAAGCGUGGGGAGCAAACAGGAUUAGAUACCCUAGUAGUCC
RNAcentral lists this ribosomal RNA (450 nucleotides) under uncultured bacterium. RNAcentral describes it as "partial 16S ribosomal RNA". It matches the Rfam family "Bacterial small subunit ribosomal RNA", at positions 354 to 796 of the family's 1533-position model. The record is from RNAcentral.